This is a non-coding RNA of Ictidomys tridecemlineatus (thirteen-lined ground squirrel), 1109 nucleotides long. The record is from RefSeq and is a predicted model, not a curated record. Lineage: Eukaryota; Metazoa; Chordata; Mammalia; Rodentia; Sciuridae.
UAUCAAGUAACAAUUGCAGUACUGAAACAAAAGGAGGAAACUAUUUUUAAAAUUCAAAUACCACACUGGACUAUCACAGGCUACAUACACUCCAUGUGAGUUGAUAAAGUAGGACUCUCGGAAUAUAGAUAGAUAGAUAAAUAAAGGUAUGGCUAAAGAAAGGGAAAGGAAGGGGAAAGGUGGAGCCAACCAGAGAAGCACAAAGAAGAGAGGUAAGGAGAGGGGAGGAAAAGACUGAAGAGAGACAAGAAGACCUGUACACUGAGAGCUCUAAUAUUCUAUGGCUAUGUAUAAUAUUUUGCAAAGUAAAAUUGACUGAGAUGGAAGCUAUUUUGCAUGGUACAGUGGCGAUGGCUAACAAAUGAGAGUUUUGUGGGCUGAAUCUGAGUCCCCUGCCUCAUCUGCCACCCCUAAUGACAGCAGCCACCUGCUGUUUUAUUGUCACAGCUGGAACCAGUUCACACUCCUUGGUGCUGUGCUCUGCCCAUGAGCACCAAGCUCUCUCCUCGCCUCAUUACUUUGAUGAACUUUUUAUGGUCAGCACCCAUGAAGACCUCAUCUAGGACUCCACGACACAGACUGGCUUCAGGGAGUGCUUUCAGUUUCACAAGGUGGUGACACACAGUGACACUGUGGCUGCAUGAGUCUCAGCCAGUCUAAAAGUGACUGUACUGUACGUUUGACACAACAGGGCCCACUGAACAGGAACUGAACAGCCUAGCUUUGAGGAAAAUGCUCAUCAUAAGAAGACUCUCUGAAUUAACAAAGAGAUAGGCUUAAAAAGAAGGACGGCAGAGCCCCAAAUUCAAAACAUUCUUUAAAGUCAGGCACUAGUGUCAGUGACAGCAAUAUUGUAGUUACAUUUCAGUUACCCUUCCCCCUCCUGUCUCAUUCUCACCUCUGGAAAGAGACAUUAAUAAUUAGGAAAAAAGUAAAAGUCCUAAGCAUUUCCUUCAAGAUACCCCUAAAUUCUAACAUUGAAAGUAAUAAAUGGAACAUCACAGCUUUGGGGAGAUAAACUGUUUAGGCAAUAAAAAAAAAAUAUUAAUCAGGAAAAUCUUACAUGUUGUGGCAAGAAAAAAACUUACUGGUACUAUAAAAAAAAAAAA